Molecule: ribosomal RNA, 468 nt
Filed under: uncultured bacterium
Lineage: Bacteria
Description: partial 16S ribosomal RNA
Rfam family: Bacterial small subunit ribosomal RNA
Source: RNAcentral
GACGAACGCUGGCGGCGUGCUUAACACAUGCAAGUCGAACGGAAAGGCACUGCUUUUGUGGGGUGCUCGAGUGGCGAACGCGUGAGUAACACGUGAGUAACCUGCCCUUGACUUUGGGAUAACUUCAGGCAACUGGGGCUAAUACCGGAUAGGAGCUCCUGCUGCAUGGUGGGGGGUGGAAAGUUUCGGCGGUUGGGGAUGGACUCGCGGCUUAUCAGCUUGCUGGUGGGGUAGUGGCUUACCCAGGCUUUGACGGGUAGCCGGCCUGAGAGGGUGACCGGCCACAAUGGGACUGAGAGACGGCCCAGACUCCUACGGGAGGCAGCAGUGGGGAAUAUUGCACAGUGGGCGGAAGCGUGAUGCAGCAACGCCGCGUGCGGGAUGACGGCCUUCGGGUUGUAAACCGCUUUCGCCUGUGACGAAGCGUGAGUGACGGUAAUGGGUAAAGAAGCACCGGCUAACUACGUG